CAGGCCUUGCCCUGUCUGGAGGCGCAGGUUCUGGGUGAUUGUGACACUGGCCUCUAUGAUGUGUUUCCUGUGACCAGUACCUGUGACACCUGGGCGUCACGCUCUCACAGUCUUUCCCUUUGUGGAUGAAGAGACCAAGUCAGGCAGGUGAAGUGACUUGCUCAAGGUCACAUGAUGGUGAGCACAGCACAACUGGAACCCAGGUGCCUCAGCCCUGCUGGGGGGCUUCCCAGGGUGCCAAGGCCCGCCUGUACAGAUUCCUUACGUGGAACACCACGUGGAAAUGUACAAUGACAUGUGAGGCAGAGAGAAAUAUCAACCUGAACCUCAUUUCGAACACUUUAGAGGAGUGCAAGACUGACUUAAGUGUCUCUUUGGACCUCUCACUUGCCCUCAGACACAGAAAGAAGAGUCUGCUUGUGAAUGCCAUCCAUUAUCAACUAACCCACCUACAGAGAUGGGCUCAAAUCAUCUUCACGUCACUGGAAUGUGAGCUGCAUGAGGCCCAGGACCAUCGCUCUAGUUUCCAACACCCCCAAGGCUUUCCACAGGAACUAACGUAUAACGUUGCAGGAAUGGGGUGAAGUGGGAAAUCUACACCUUGGAGCCAUAUUACAGAAACCAGAAGCACCUAAACUACAGCCCCCUGGGGACAGUGUAAUGGACAGUGAGGAACAACGGAUGAUGGUCUAAAGGCUCAGGAGGUGCCUGCUUUCCCAGAAACCAUGACUGGUUUAACUUCUUUGCCUAUAACAGGGACAUCUUUUGAAGAAAAACAGUAUCAAGGAAAUCAUGUCCAGGGUAGAAAAAACAUUAUAGCUAGAUGAUACAUACAUCUGUU
Molecule: long non-coding RNA, 841 nt
Filed under: Capra hircus (goat)
Lineage: Eukaryota; Metazoa; Chordata; Mammalia; Artiodactyla; Bovidae
Description: lncRNA (ENSCHIG00000000589.1)
Source: RNAcentral